This 60-nucleotide ribosomal RNA is filed under the name Tuber pseudoexcavatum. RNAcentral describes it as "partial 28S ribosomal RNA". It matches the Rfam family "Eukaryotic large subunit ribosomal RNA", at positions 1 to 57 of the family's 3401-position model. Lineage: Eukaryota; Fungi; Ascomycota; Pezizomycetes; Pezizales; Tuberaceae. The record is from RNAcentral.
GGUUGACCUCGAAUCAGGUAGGGAUACCCGCUGAACUUAAGCAUAUCAAUAAGCGGAGGA